AAAAAAUUAAUAGAAUCAAUAAAUUUUAACUAAUUCGUUAUGGAUGUUAAAUUAGUGGAAUAUAUCCAGAGUGACAUAACGUUUAUAGUGGCACGUAGAGAUCGAUCAAUUUGAGUAUAGAAUAACACCAAAUUGUCUCACGUGGGUGGUCUUAGCUAGCAACCACCGACCAACCUCGUCAUCACCACCACCAUGUACUACCCUACCCCCACCCCAACACCCACCAUCCCAUUCUCUUCUUUCUUCUUCUCAAUCUAACUUCCGCUAACCCCAAGAAAGAUUCUUGAUUUUUCCGCCAUGGAAACCAGUGAAGACCCAAACAAGCUUUCUUCUACUCUUGCUGACCCAACCACACAACCCCUUCUCUCCAAACCUUACCCUGUUGAUGAUUCAAUAACACCCCAUCAAUACCCUGGACAAUCUUCUUUAGACCCAGAUGAUCAAACUCAGUUCCUUCAGAUCUCUUACAAUUUUGGAACUCGACCCUUUAAGGACCUUCCUUUUCUUAUCCUUUUUGUUCUUCUUGUUCUUUGCACUUUUGGUUUUGGUAUCUUUGCUUCUGUUCAUAGAAAUCCUCAUCACUCUCAAAUUUCAUCUUUUACCUACAAUAUCACCUCAUCUUCUUGUAGUAUUGGGAGUUCUACCUCUGAGAGCUCUAGUGACUUCUUUUCACUUUACUCAUCUGAUUCUAGUUUCUUGAAGAGUUUGAUAUGGACCCUUGUAGUUACUUUAAUUCUAAGCAUACCCUUUGUGCUUUUUGUGCUUUUCUUGCUCAAGCGCUAUACAAAGCAGAUAGUUUAUGCUUCACUUCCCUUUUUUGUAAUUGUCCCUGUUUUUCUUGACAUCUACUGGUUUGUUGCUUGUACUGUGAGCUCCAAAUGUAGUGAGGAUUUCCCUUUGGCUUAUAGAAUUUUGGUACUGUUUUUCGUGUUGUUGU
RNAcentral lists this unclassified non-coding RNA (937 nucleotides) under Hevea brasiliensis (rubber tree). The record is from RNAcentral. Lineage: Eukaryota; Viridiplantae; Streptophyta; Magnoliopsida; Malpighiales; Euphorbiaceae.